RNAcentral lists this ribosomal RNA (253 nucleotides) under uncultured bacterium. RNAcentral describes it as "partial 16S ribosomal RNA". It matches the Rfam family "Bacterial small subunit ribosomal RNA", at positions 524 to 776 of the family's 1533-position model. The record is from RNAcentral.
UACGUAGGGGGCAAGCGUUGUCCGGAUUUAUUGGGCGUAAAGAGCGUGUAGGCGGUUAGGUAGGUCCGUUGUGAAAACUCGAGGCUCAACCUCGAGACGCCGAUGGAAACCAUCUAACUAGAGUCCGGAAGAGGAGAGUGGAAUUCCUGGUGUAGCGGUGAAAUGCGCAGAUAUCAGGAAGAACACCCAUGGCUAAGGCGGCUCUCUAGUACGGUACUGACGCUGAGACGCGAAAGCGUGGGGAGCGAACAGG